UGGCGAACGGGUGAGUAACACGUGAGCAAUCUGCCCCUGACUCUGGGAUAAGCGCUGGAAACGGCGUCUAAUACUGGAUAUGAGCUGCGAAGGCAUCUUCAGCAGUUGGAAAGAUUUUUCGGUCAGGGAUGAGCUCGCGGCCUAUCAGCUUGUUGGUGAGGUAAUGGCUCACCAAGGCGUCGACGGGUAGCCGGCCUGAGAGGGUGACCGGCCACACUGGGACUGAGACACGGCCCAGACUCCUACGGGAGGCAGCAGUGGGGAAUAUUGCACAAUGGGCGGAAGCCUGAUGCAGCAACGCCGCGUGAGGGAUGACGGCCUUCGGGUUGUAAACCUCUUUUAGCAGGGAAGAAGCGAGAGUGACGGUACCUGCAGAAAAAGCACCGGCUAACUACGUGCCAGCAGCCGCGGUAAUACGUAGGGUGCAAGCGUUAUCCGGAAUUAUUGGGCGUAAAGAGCUCGUAGGCGGUUUGUCGCGUCUGCUGUGAAAUCCCGAGGCUCAACCUCGGGCCUGCAGUGGGUACGGGCAGACUAGAGUGCGGUAGGGGAGAUUGGAAUUCCUGGUGUAGCGGUGGAAUGCGCAGAUAUCAGGAGGAACACCGAUGGCGAAGGCAGAUCUCUGGGCCGUAACUGACGCUGAGGAGCGAAAGGGUGGGGAGCAAACAGGCUUAGAUACCCUGGUAGUCCACCCCGUAAACGUUGGGAACUAGUUGUGGGGUCCAUUCCACGGAUUCCGUGACGCAGCUAACGCAUUAAGUUCCCCGCCUGGGGAGUACGGCCGCAAGGCUAAAACUCAAAGGAAUUGACGGGGACCCGCACAAGCGGCGGAGCAUGCGGAUUAAUUCGAUGCAACGCGAAGAACCUUACCAAGGCUUGACAUAUA
This 883-nucleotide ribosomal RNA is filed under the name Microbacterium sp. RAG-11. Its description in RNAcentral is "bacterial SSU rRNA". It matches the Rfam family "Bacterial small subunit ribosomal RNA", at positions 96 to 990 of the family's 1533-position model. Lineage: Bacteria; Bacillati; Actinomycetota; Actinomycetes; Micrococcales; Microbacteriaceae. The record is from RNAcentral.